This 384-nucleotide unclassified non-coding RNA is filed under the name uncultured Actinomycetes bacterium. RNAcentral's name for it is "uncultured actinobacterium contains 16S-23S intergenic spacer region". The record is from RNAcentral. Lineage: Bacteria; Bacillati; Actinomycetota; Actinomycetes.
UCCGAGUUGACCCCGGCAGUCUCCUGUGAGUCCCCAUCACCCCGAAGGGCAUGCUGGCAACACAGAACAAGGGUUGCGCUCGUUGCGGGACUUAACCCAACAUCUCACGACACGAGCUGGCGACAGCCAUGCACCACCUGUGAAAGUGUCCCGAAGGAAAACCGUGUUUCCACGGUGGUCACUUACAUGUCAAGCCCAGGUAAGGUUCUUCGCGUUGCGUCGAAUUAAACCACAUGCUCCGCUGCUUGUGCGGGCCCCCGUCAAUUCCUUUGAGUUUUAGCCUUGCGGCCGUACUCCCCUGGCGGAUAACUUAACGCGUUAGCUGCGCCACCGAAACUCUAAGAGCCCCGACAGCUAGUUAUCAUCGUUUACGGCGUGGACUAC